RNAcentral lists this ribosomal RNA (465 nucleotides) under Vreelandella stevensii. RNAcentral's name for it is "partial 16S ribosomal RNA". It matches the Rfam family "Bacterial small subunit ribosomal RNA", at positions 338 to 795 of the family's 1533-position model. Lineage: Bacteria; Pseudomonadati; Pseudomonadota; Gammaproteobacteria; Oceanospirillales; Halomonadaceae. The record is from RNAcentral.
CCUACGGGUGGCAGCAGUGGGGAAUAUUGGACAAUGGGGGCAACCCUGAUCCAGCCAUGCCGCGUGUGUGAAGAAGGCCCUCGGGUUGUAAAGCACUUUCAGUGAGGAAGAACGCCUGGUGGUUAAUACCCAUCAGGAAAGACAUCACUCACAGAAGAAGCACCGGCUAACUCCGUGCCAGCAGCCGCGGUAAUACGGAGGGUGCGAGCGUUAAUCGGAAUUACUGGGCGUAAAGCGCGCGUAGGUGGCUUGAUAAGCCGGUUGUGAAAGCCCCGGGCUCAACCUGGGAACGGCAUCCGGAACUGUCAAGCUAGAGUGCAGGAGAGGAAGGUAGAAUUCCCGGUGUAGCGGUGAAAUGCGUAGAGAUCGGGAGGAAUACCAGUGGCGAAGGCGGCCUUCUGGCCUGACACUGACACUGAGGUGCGAAAGCGUGGGUAGCAAACAGGAUUAGAUACCCCGGUAGUC